AUGUAUGCAUAUAUUUUUUUUCCUACGCUGCCGCCAAUUAAUGCCAUCGGCGGCAGCGACGCCAAGCAGUGUCACAAAAACAACACCAACACAAAUCAAAAAAGCAAAAAAUUAAGAGUAAAAAGAGCGGCGGCUGCAAAAACAAUUAUAUUUUUGCAAUGUGAGCAUUAAAGAAAAUAAAACUGCUCUUUAAACAAAUAUGCGAACGGCAAACAACAGAAAAAACAUAACAACACGAUGAAGUAGAAGAAGGAAUGAAGGAAAUAAGAGAAGCGGCAGAGAGUCGGAGGUCCCAAAAAAAUGUGUGUGCUUGUGUUUGUGUGUGUGUGUGUGUGUUUGUGCGUGCGGCGCGCCACAUGAGGAAAUGGUCAGCGUCGACGUUGGCAGCGUGCGCUUAGUUACAAAAAAGAAAAACGAAAGAAAACCACAGCGAAAACAACAACAAGAAAACCUGACUCAUUUUGUUGUUAUCCUCCAAUUACUGUUAUUCUUAUCAGCCGCAGAAUAAAAAAGUGUGCGUGUGUGUGUGUGUGUGUGUGUUUUUUGGUUCUUUUACUUUCUGCUUCUUCCACUUCUAAUCCACACUCCCCUCCCACCGCAUACAUUAUCCUGCAGUCAGUCAAACGAAGAGUAAAAAGACAACAACAAAAAAUUAGAGUAAAAGCAACGGUAUAACAAAACAAGGAUCGGAGCAGCAGCGGCAGUGAAAAAAAAGAGAAGCAAAGCAGCAGGCAGUCGCACGACGCAGACGACGAUCAGCAGAGAGGAGCGGCAGCGCAACAGGAACCACCUCUCUCUCUCUCUCUCUCACACUCUUGUGCGCUCUUUCUCCCGCUCCCCAGAUACGGAUACAGAUGCCCGAAGUUUGCUUCACAGACAGUGCUUUCCACCAAAGAUCGUACUACUCCAUUGGGGAUCCAUGGGAUAAGCAGUGCAAAAACAUAUUCUAGGGAAAGUAAAUAUGAUAAUAUCCAGCGCUACGAUGGGCCUCGUGGCGCCAAAGCGCCGUUUAUUUGCAACGCAUCUCAGACGCUAAAAGCCAAAGAGAUAGAAUAAUAAUAGUAGGAGCCGCAGUCGCAGCGGUGGGCCAGUGCCAGGGCCAGCACCAGCACCAGCACUCCCCCCCUUCCGAACGCCACCCGCCCCCACCCACAAAUGAGGAGGGGUGGGCAACGACGGGCCAACAACAGGUUGAGGAGCACAUACAUAGGCAAAAGCCCACAACAAAAUCAAAAGCAAAUGCCAGAGCAAAGGCAAAGGCAAAAGCAAAAGCAACAAAAACACGACAAAUAGAAAGAAGCAGACAAAAUAAAACAGAGAAAACCACCAAAACCGCAAAAACAACAAGCAGAGAAGCCACCGAAAGAGAGCGGCAGACCAACCGACCGACCGACCGACCGACCGACCGACAGGACCGACCGGGCAGCCGUGAGAGUAAAAGAGGGAGAGAGUAAUCCAAUCAAAAACCAAACACAAACGCAGCAGAGCAGCAGCAGCCGAGCGGCAGCGAC
Molecule: small RNA, 1511 nt
Filed under: Drosophila pseudoobscura pseudoobscura
Lineage: Eukaryota; Metazoa; Arthropoda; Insecta; Diptera; Drosophilidae
Description: GA30938
Source: RNAcentral